Molecule: ribosomal RNA, 259 nt
Filed under: uncultured prokaryote
Description: partial 16S ribosomal RNA
Rfam family: Bacterial small subunit ribosomal RNA
Source: RNAcentral
UACGGAGGAUGCAAGCGUUAUCCGGAUUUAAUGGGUUUAAAGGGUGCGCAGGUUGUUUGAUAAGUCAGUGGUGAAAGUCUGUCGCUUAACGGUAGGAUUGCCAUUGAUACUGUUAGACUUGAAUAUGGAUGAGGUAGGCGGAAUGUGUAGUGUAGCGGUGGAAUGCGCAGAGAUCAGGAGGAAUACCGAAGGCGAAGGCAGUCUUCCAAGCCGUUAUUGACGCUCAACUGCGAAGGUGUGGGUAUCAAACAGGAUUAGA